UUGACAAUCUGAGCUCUCACUUGAAGAAGCUAGAUGUACAGGUACCUCAAACUGCAUAAUCUAUCAAGAGAGAAGAGGGUUUUCUUCCUGGUAAUCCUGAUGCUAACCCAAGGAAGAGCUGCAAUGCCAUCUUGAUCAGAGAAGGAGAUGAUAUGUGGGAGGAAUUGGACACUGAAGACGAGUCAGAGCUCGCAGUUGCAAAGAUCGUGUCGACCGACACCCUCCUGUGUCGAUCGACACCAUAUGGGACGCUCUUUUUAGAGACGACCCAAUACGACGCUGUCGAUCGAUACCCCUCUAGUGUCGAUCGACACUGGAUUCGGACAUCACCCUGCGAGGUGCAAAUACCUAUGCAGCCCGAGUUUGUCUACCCUCUUCUUGUCCCUUAAUCCGAGGAGGCGUCGUUCUAAGCAGGAGAUUCAUGCUGCCAAGUGCACAACCAUAAUGGAGAAGAUCCUCCAUACUCUUCCUAAGGCGAGGAGGCAGCAGCAAUCCUCCACCACCACUCCAUCCACAUCCUAAACUCCGCCAAGUA
RNAcentral lists this small RNA (535 nucleotides) under Arabidopsis thaliana (thale cress). Its description in RNAcentral is "ATSL200380". Lineage: Eukaryota; Viridiplantae; Streptophyta; Magnoliopsida; Brassicales; Brassicaceae. The record is from RNAcentral.